This is a long non-coding RNA of Cucumis melo (muskmelon), 829 nucleotides long. RefSeq lists it as uncharacterized. The record is from RefSeq and is a predicted model, not a curated record. The transcript has 2 exons. Lineage: Eukaryota; Viridiplantae; Streptophyta; Magnoliopsida; Cucurbitales; Cucurbitaceae.
UUUUGGGAUAGAAUAAAGAAAAAUAAAAGAAAAUAAUAAUAAUAAUAAUAAUAAUAUUAUUUUCUUUAUUCAUAGGCCUCGUGAAGCGUGCAUCGUAACUAUUCACCAUCUUCUUCCUCAAGAAACUCUAACCCCUCAAACACUAGAAAUCAAGAGCCGUCGUCGUCGUCGUCAUUCUCCUCCAUCUGUCGUUUCCCGUCGCUUGACUCACCGAUUGUCUCUGUUCGACAGCCACCACGAAACGCCAUCGACCGCCAUGUCUCCUGCAUCGUAACCAGUCGUCUUUUGCCGUGUCGUUCCAUCGAGUAGUAGCCAUUGAUGAACCUUUAGCUGCCGUUAUCGACGAACGUCAGACUAAGCUGAGUUGCCCUCUGAGUUGUGUGUGAGUGUGGGAGCCGCUUCUUCCUCGGUCGUUCACCCGAUCUGCACAAGUCGUCUACCCGAUCUACGUAAGCAGUCAGCCGAGCUGCGUUCAGCCUCAGAUAUGAGCCAUGCGUGCAAGCCACCUAAGUUAUCCGCGUUGCCUGAGUCGAUUCGUCCUCCCAAGUUGCUAAGAUAGAGACUUGAGAAGCUGGCGAGCGGCAGAACGGGAUUCGUGGCAUGUCAUAUGGGGACACAGUUAGCUUCCGCAUCUAUUUAUAUGUUUUUCAAUAUUUUUAAAUGUUAAACAUUUUACCUAAGACAUCCAACCAAAAACUUAGAAAAUACUAAUUCCUAACGUCGUAUACGCCCCUACUCCUAAUGGAUGUUCCACAGUAUGGAGUUUCUUCCAUCAAACAAAUUUUGGGAUGAUCUCCCUAUGCUUGUCAGAAGAUCUUUAUUCAAAUUA